This 497-nucleotide ribosomal RNA is filed under the name uncultured bacterium. Its description in RNAcentral is "partial 16S ribosomal RNA". It matches the Rfam family "Bacterial small subunit ribosomal RNA", at positions 28 to 507 of the family's 1533-position model. The record is from RNAcentral.
GAUGAACGCUGGCGGCGUGCCUAAUACAUGCAAGUCGAGCGAACAGACGAGGAGCUUGCUCCUCUGACGUUAGCGGCGGACGGGUGAGUAACACGUGGAUAACCUACCUAUAAGACUGGGAUAACUUCGGGAAACCGGAGCUAAUACCGGAUAAUAUAUUGAACCGCAUGGUUCAAUAGUGAAAGACGGUUUUGCUGUCACUUAUAGAUGGAUCCGCGCCGCAUUAGCUAGUUGGUAAGGUAACGGCUUACCAAGGCAACGAUGCGUAGCCGACCUGAGAGGGUGAUCAGCCACACUGGAACUGAGACACGGUCCAGACUCCUACGGGAGGCAGCAGUAGGGAAUCUUCCGCAAUGGGCGAAAGCCUGACGGAGCAACGCCGCGUGGGUGAUGAAGGUCUUCGGAUCGUAAAACUCUGUUAUUAGGGAAGAACAAAUGUGUAAGUAACUAUGCACGUCUUGACGGUACCUAAUCAGAAAGCCACGGCUAACUACGUG